AAAUAGAUACCCACCAUGCCUUUUGCUCUGCACUCAGUAAAUAUUUGUUUGUGAAUGUGUAGCAAAAGACAGGAUGGGGAUCCAUUA
Cricetulus griseus (Chinese hamster) is the source of this 87-nucleotide non-coding RNA. The record is from Rfam. Lineage: Eukaryota; Metazoa; Chordata; Mammalia; Rodentia; Cricetidae.